This is a long non-coding RNA of Oreochromis niloticus (Nile tilapia), 899 nucleotides long. RefSeq lists it as uncharacterized. The record is from RefSeq and is a predicted model, not a curated record. Lineage: Eukaryota; Metazoa; Chordata; Actinopteri; Cichliformes; Cichlidae. The transcript has 4 exons.
CCGAACGAUCCAAGAUCACGCGAAAUCGUCAACAUUCAAAUCCGGCUAACUUACUUAGCGAGGUACGAAGAACAGGCCCCAGGAGUGAGUGAUGAAAGUGAGACUACAUCAGAGUCUGUCUCUGGACUGGUUGUUUGCUGCUGCUAUGAGUUCAGCAAGGUUAGGUGAACCCACAGCUGGGAGUGGUUCCCUGGUGGGUGGGAGGAUCAUACUUCAGCUUCAAUAUUAUAGUGGUCUUCAGAAUGUCAAGGUUUGCUGUGUGGCAGGCAGUGGUUGGACCCGAACGCAGGACUCUGAGACGGAGUAUUUAACUUAAAGGAAUAGUUUUCCAUGCUUCCUGAAGGACAUUUAGAGCUCUUUUUUAGAUUUGGGCUGCCUUUUAUCGGUUCUCUGUCAAGAUGAUCCAACUAAGCUUACAAAAAAUGUAGAAGUCCGGGCUCCGGAGAGGCAGAUCCAUGAUGCGCAUAGGUAAGACUAUAUGCCAUUCCCGCGUGGGGUGUCCGUAUCCAGUGAGGGUCCUAAGGCUAGAACCCCCAUUCUAAGCGAGCCUACCGCAGACAUGCCGGCUCGGACGUCGCCUGGAUCGUCGAGGAACCAUCGGUGGCAGAGGUUUUUAGGAAUCGUCUCAAAAAGAUGACACUACUAACAGCUGUCAGUCACCGCUGGCAUGGGAUUUACCCAGAAAUAGUAAAAAAAUAGUAAAUAGAAAUAGUAAAAAAGAGCAUGACGUAAUGGUAGAUGUCGCCAAAGCUAUUAUGAAGAGGAAUCCCCAUCUUCUCCAGCACCCAAGCUCCCCCCGCCAUAACCGAUGCAUUUACAGCCUUAGCCUCGCGGUCCCGAGGCGAUUAAGACCAGCAUCCUGAAGUUUUUCCCCAGUACUGAAUUCUCCAGCCUGCCAG